CGAUACAUACUUCAAAACCCUUUCUCUCAAUUUUUUUAUAUUUGGGUCAAAAUGAGAUCUCCCACACUUCUUGUUCUCUCCUGCCUUGCUGUCGCUUACGCCGGAGUCGUCAAUGUAACUGUGGCAACAGUUAUGUUAGUUAUGUACUGAAAUUAUUACCAAGAUUGUGACAAAUUUAUUUGAGACACGUAUCAUCCUGAAUAGGUUUGCUGAAAUUUGUGGGCUAGUUUUUAUUUGAAAUAUUUGUCAAAGUUUGUAAAAGCUUUUAAGUUUAUAGAAUUUAAUCGUUUUACAAUGUUACUAAGGGCUGUGUGAUUUACCUUUUUUGUGUUUUUCAAGUAAAAUGUUUUCUGUGCGAGUUGUAACUAUAAAAAACUUUCAGUAGUCGGUGAACGGUGUAAAUUUUAUUAGCCUUUCAAUAUACGAUAUAACGAUGUCAUAAGGCUUGACUUGAUGGUUUAUUUUUUUAUAAUGCGACAAAAUACAGAACAUAUUGAGGCAGUUGCAUUUUAUUUUUUAUGGUUAAGGGAACUGCAAUAGAAACCAGGAUGUCCGACUGUGAAGGAUAGUGCCAAGUACAACCUGGCCAAGUUUACGAAGUGGAACAAGACUUUGUGCUAAGUAUCCCAAUUAGAUGGGGAACUUUAUGGGCUGAGAUUUGCACGAUACCUGGCGGUUUCUGCAAGGAGAUAAUCAACGAGAACGUAACCAUCGUCACUCCAGGGCCGACCUACAUGGUGAAGUAUUCAUUUAUCCCACAUGAAAUGUUUUCCGGAUUUAAGACAGAACUGAGAACUAAAAUCCGCCAUGCUGACACAAAUCUAUUGGAAAUUUGCGUUUUCUUUUACAUGGAUAUCUUGUAAAUAAGCUUACCAAAAUUUACGAAUUUUUAGAAGAUGAAGAAAAACGAAUAAAUCAAAUACAAAUUUCUACUCAA
Folsomia candida is the source of this 937-nucleotide long non-coding RNA. RefSeq lists it as uncharacterized. The transcript has 2 exons. The record is from RefSeq and is a predicted model, not a curated record. Lineage: Eukaryota; Metazoa; Arthropoda; Collembola; Entomobryomorpha; Isotomidae.